UUAAUAACGUAUAUUCUAAAAAUGUAGCUAAGUCAAUAUCACGAAAUGCUAUCAGUAUUGUAAAAACUAACUUUGAAAUAGAAAGACUUCGAAUAAAAAAGAUGAGUGACCGUGUGAUAGAUAAAGAUGAGUUAAUUAAACAAAUAACAAAUCAUGUUGAGAUUCGCAAGAGACAAAUCAAAAGACAGAGACAGUAUUUUAAAAGUUUCUUCUUCUAAUUGAUGGAUGUAAAAAAAAUUACAGUUUUUUAAACGAGGACGUACUUUAU
This is a non-coding RNA of Nylanderia fulva, 268 nucleotides long. Lineage: Eukaryota; Metazoa; Arthropoda; Insecta; Hymenoptera; Formicidae. The record is from RefSeq and is a predicted model, not a curated record.